AUGGGAUCAAAAUUUAAUGCAUUGUGGAAAAAUGAGUUACUUGCCCUGGGCAAAGAUGAUAAAGAUAAAGCAAUCACAGUAAGAAAUGAUUAUCCGAAGCCCCCUGUCCCUUGUUUUGAAAUCACUGAGGAUUUUGAUUUGGAAAAGGUUGAGCUUAUGCUAGAAAGGGAUAUUAAGAUCGCCAAGUCCAUGGCAAAUGACAUAAUCAUCCCAGACCCUGCUCCCAAGUGGGUGGGUGAUGCCUUCUUGGACAUAUAUGCCAAAUUGGAGCACAUCCUUGUAAAGGAUAGUGUCCGGUGCUUCCUCCGAUUUUUCGAGAACUGUGAAGGCCAGGGCAUGUCAUCUUAUCUUACCAUCACCGCACAAACCUUAACCUUCAUUGUCAGUUUCAAUGCCCUGCGAUGUGCAAAAGUCGUAUUGGAGGGCAUGGCACCUGAGCUCUAUGGGAUGCACGCCAAUCCCAACUGCAUAAACAAAUAUGGAUACUUCGUGCUCCAUGAAGCUGCUGAAAGGUUCUCUGUUGACAUGAUCAAGCUGCUUUUACGCCAUGGUGCAUCACCCAAUGUGCGCACAGUUGGCAAUGAUGUCAUCGAGAAUCUACUCCCGCUCCAUGUCGCAGUUGAGAAUACUUGCCUGCAUAAGUAUCUGGAGGACAAUCUGGAGGACAAUCCUUAAUCAUGAGGAUAUGUCUACAAGCUUAUUCAUCUGCUGUGUCUACCUGAAAUGAAGAUCUUCUUGGACACAAUUAGACUGCUUGCAGAGAAAACAAAUAAUCUACUCGAAGAGCUCUGGAAUUAUAUUGAGGAUGGAAAAAUUAUCCAGUCUGCUGUUCUACUACUGGCUGCUCAAGAGCAGAUCCGUGGGGUUAGUUCUUCCAAGAUAAAUGGCAGUAGUAAGAAAAAUUUUGAAAUCAUCGAGAAGUGUAUAACGAGGCAUUCAUAUGCCUUGAGAAACGAGAAAGGUUCACUUGGAAUGGUACAGGAGCUUCUGGAGGAAAGGAAGACGCUUAACGAUUGUGCAUGGCUGCUUGUUGAUGUAAUUUCCCAUGCCGGUGAAGAUCUUUCUGCAUACAUUCAAGCGCAUUCUGUGGUGUCCCAUGUGGAGGUCUUUCAACAUGUUUCAUCUAUUCUCAAGGAGUGUGGAUUUUGCCCUACUGGAGAUCUUAUGGACACUAUAAACCUCCAGCCUUAUGACUGCAGAAAGUCAAACGGAGAGUCAUGCAAAGGGCUUACAGAUGCAAACAUGGCAGUUAUGGAAUCAGCCAAGCUGAAUGCUGCAGAGAAGAAGGCUGUGAGAAAGAAAGUAGGCGGAGGAUGGGAUCCCACGUAUACAAAGAGAAGCUUUUUCCCAUAUUGGAGAUCAGUGUUACAAGCUCGGGUUCCUUUGAAGGUGUAUCCAGCCCAUGCAAGCUCAGAUCCUAGGUCUCGUGUUAACCAUGGACAACUCCAUGUCUCUCUGAGUAACUCAAUAGCCAAUGGAUCUACAACAACUCCAAAUCAUAAACUUGGUCCAGUGCGAAGAACCUCGCCACUUACAAGCAAUAAUCAACCCAGAAGGUGCUUUGUCACUGCUGCUACUGGUGCAUUCAGGCUCUUGAAGGUGCUAAAGUAG
This 1611-nucleotide ribosomal RNA is filed under the name Triticum aestivum (bread wheat). RNAcentral describes it as "partial small subunit ribosomal RNA". Lineage: Eukaryota; Viridiplantae; Streptophyta; Magnoliopsida; Poales; Poaceae. The record is from RNAcentral.